UACCUGCAGCUCGAGUGGUAACCGCUAUUAUUGGGCCUAAAGCGUCCGUAGCCGGUUUGGUAAAUAUCUGGGUAAAUCGUGAGGCUUAACUUCACGAAUUUCGGAUAGACUGCCAGACUUGGGAUCGGGGGAGGUCAGAGGUACUCCAGGGGUAGCGGUGAAAUGUUGUAAUCCUUAGGAGGACCACCGGUAGCGAAGGCGUCUGACUAGAACGAGUCCGACGGUGAGGGACGAAGCCCUGGGGCGCAAACCGGAUUAGAUACCCGGGUAGUACCAGGGUGUAAACGAUGUGGGCUUUGUAUUGGAGGUCCCACGUGGGCGUCCAGUGCAGAAGAGAAGUUGUUAAGCCCACCGCCUGGGAAGUACGGUCGCAAGGCUGAAACUUAAAGGAAUUGGCGGGAGAGCACAGCAACGGGAGGAGGGUGCGGUUU
Molecule: ribosomal RNA, 431 nt
Filed under: uncultured archaeon
Lineage: Archaea
Description: bacterial SSU rRNA
Rfam family: Archaeal small subunit ribosomal RNA
Source: RNAcentral